Choloepus didactylus (southern two-toed sloth) is the source of this 4076-nucleotide long non-coding RNA. RefSeq lists it as uncharacterized. NCBI's taxonomy places the organism in Eukaryota, Metazoa, Chordata, Mammalia, Pilosa, Megalonychidae. The transcript is spliced from 3 exons. The record is from RefSeq and is a predicted model, not a curated record.
UGAGAACUACGGGUUUAAUCUAAUAUUAUCUCAUAUAAUUCUCAUAAGCUAAUUAGGCAGGUAUUUUUAUUCCUGUUUACCCAUGAGGAAACAGGCUUGGAACAGUUUAAAACAAAAAGAAACCCAACCAAGUUUACACAGCUGGCAAGGCACUGAUCUAGGAUGUAACCUCAAGUCUACACGACCCGAGUACAAGAACCCACACCCUUAACCACCCUACUGGGCUUCUUAUACAGAACCUUCUUUAAAUCUUAAAUUUCUUAAAGCACUUGUACUCUCCAGAACUUCCUUGACCUGUACAGUGGCCCUGGGAGGUAGGAAAGGUGGAUGACGCAUUCACACGCUACAGGGAGGCAGGGAACUUGCCUACAUUUAGGCAGAGUUAGUGCCCGAAACAGGGCUAGAACUCAGUUCUCGUGACCAUUUUUUCCUCUGUCCGGUCAACCACUGCAUGUCCUGCUGUCCUGCAGACAGACAGGAUGGGGCCAAGGCUUCCUUCCACUUACAUGCUUCAUGCUUGCCGUAGCCAGAAGCCUCACAUUCUGUCCAGUCAGGUAGCUGCAAGUCAGCCUCAGGCAGACAGACAGUGGCGACAGCGUUGCUCUCCUGGGCACAGGAUAGUGAAUCCGAUUUCAGCUGCAGCAGGGCUGGGAGGGAGAGCAAGGAGGUGCAUAAGUCCUGUGUGAAGAGUUGUUUCUCAUUUUGCAGGAGCCAUGAGGGAGGGAGGGAGGGAGGGUUUGGAAGAAGAGGUGUGUGUAUGCAAAUGUGGUGUGUGUGGUGAUCUGGGGAGACUUGAACUGUUGCAGAGAGAAUAAUGGCCCCUUACCAAUGUCAUUGUUGUACGUGUCAUCAUCGAAUUCCUUAUGGACAAUAUAUUUUUCUACUUCAAAUGUCUGCUCCUCCUCUCCAGGGACCACCCGGUAUGUUCUGCCCAAGACCACUUUGACGUGGUGGGGAGGAAACCUAAUGAAAAAACAUUAGAGCAUUGAGCUUGUUGUCACUGUUCCUCUAAUGGACACACCUGGUUUCAAGGCUCUAGAGAGGAGAUAAGCUCUUGGAUUCCCCAAAACCCCUACCUGUCCAGGAAGCAGUGAGCAGCAGACAGGACCCAGCAGGAGCUGAUCAGUAUCCCUCCACACAGAAACCUCUCUUCAGGUGACCUCCUGUUCUUGACAAAGAUGGCGGCCUGCCAGGGAUGAGAGGCGAUGUCCGCAAAGAGCCCUCCUUUAAUGCGAAACUGAGGCUGCUUGUACUGUCUCAGGCCACAGGUGGCUGGGAGAGGUCAGGAGAGAGAACGGAGAUCAGAUCUGCAGGCCUGAGGUAAGGCCCUUGAACACCCAUGUCGGUGUCUUCUCUUGGAACCCUGAGUUUCUGUGGCCUUUCUACACUUCUACAGGUUAAUCAGAGUGACAUAACAGUCUCCAUGGUAAUAAAAAGCACAGCUCACUACUCUACAUACAUUAUCUUUAACCCUCAAAACACUGAGCGUCAGAGAGGUUGAGACAUGUUGCCCACGUUCACGAUGGCACCUGGAUUUGAACCCAGGUCUGAUCGACUCCAAAGCUGGCCAUCUCUCUGCUCUGCUUCUCUGCCUCUAGUUUUUCCUCUUGCCAAUUCCUGAUUAAGAAAUCAAGAAGCAGACUACCGAAACCCCUUGCAGUUUCCUCCUGGGGAAUAUCUACCCCAUUUCUUUCUUAUCUCCUCAGUCUUACUCAUCCUUCAAGGCCCAGGUGAAAUCCUACCUCCUUAUGAAGUUUUCUUCCCAGGAGCCUCUGAGCAUGUUUGCUGACACCACUCGCUGAGGAUUUACUACAAAUCUCCUUGGUUGUGAGUUAAUCAGUAGUUUGUUUGGUUAGUUUGUUUGGUUGUGAGUUAAUCGGUAGUUUGGUAGUUUGUUUGGUAGAUCAUUGUGGCCGAUCUAUGUGUUUACAGGACCUAAGUCAUAAUCGAUUCUCAGACAAUUUUCAAGCUAAAGCCUCAUUUGUUUGCAACACCUAAAUUUUCUGUUUCCCACACCCCUAUUGCUCACCUGGGUGCCCUGUCUUAAAUGGGUUUAAUGAGAAAGUCAGAAGCAAUCAGGGUAGCAGUACACUCCCAAGAGGUGUGGGAUGUGGAAUCAAGCCCCAGCUCAACUCCUCAGGAGCCCAGUGAGCCCUGGCAAGGCCACACGACUUCUGAGAGGUCAUUUCCUAAUCAGUCAAAUGGAAAUAGGAAGACUUCCUCUCACCACAGUGUUGGGGAAAUGCUGUGAAAGCACUUUGUUAACUAAUAAGCAAUAUAUCCUCCCCCUCCCCAUGUUCACCCUACCACCACCACCAUCAUCAUAAACACAUCUAGAGAUAUAAGUUUAGAGCCUACUGUGGAGAGCCCACGCUGUUCAUUUCUUUCUUUUUGCCUCCUCCUCCUCACCCCUCCCCCACGUGGGUGGAAAAUGAACACCUGCCCACGAGUGUUGCUGCCCCACCAUUGCUCGAGUCAUGGAAGCCCCUUUCCCCACCAAGUCUGGCCUUCCUGGAAGACUUGGCAGCUAUCCUGUCUGACCCGGACGGCUGUGAGGACACAGAAAGUGGCAGAGGAAAUGGUCAAGAAGUGAGAGUGGACAAAGGAAAGUGGCCAGGAGCCAGCUCUUACAGCACUGCGGCACGUCGCAGAACUCCCAGGUCAACUUGCCGUCCUUCUGCACAUGGCACCAGGGCUUGGCAUCCCCAUCUGGAUUUCUAGAGGAUAAGGAAGUGUAAGGGUUUCGGAUGCUUAAUUUCUCCAGACAGUAAAUCACAGGACAUGGAAGAGGGGAAGGAGGCUCAGGAGGCCAACGGCAAUAACUGAACUGGGAGGGCGGACCCUGAGUUCAAGACUUGGCUCUGUCACAGAUGCCCACCGGGUCUCACAGCUGUCCCUGUCAGCCCACCAACCGAUAAGGCAGGCUGGCUGCUGGAGCUACUGGAAGUCAGGAGGUAAAGCAGGUGCCUGGGCCUGCCCAGCUGGCUGGGGUAGAGCUGGAUUUCUGAUUCGCACCUACGGAUCUGCCUGUUGGGCUCAGCGCUCUGGUCUCUGUGGUGGUUUGGAGCUGUAUGUACCCCAGAAAAACAUGUUCUUAAACUCAAUCCAUUCCUGUGGGUGUGGACCCACUAAUGUAAUUCAGACACAGAGAGAGAGAGCCGGGGAAAUAAUAGGCUGAAGGUCAAUGGUACACAGAAGAUAAAGGAGAGGCCAGGAGAGGCUGUCAUGUGCAUGGCCAUGUGACAGAGGAGCCCAGGAUCAGGGGCAGCUGGCCUCAGAACACCAGUCUUCAGGAAGAAAGCAUCACCCUGAUGAUGGCUUGUACUUUGGGACUUUUCCUGGCCUCAAAACCAUGAGCUAAUAUGUUCCCAUUGUUUACACCAACCCAUUGCAUGGCAUUUGCUUGAGCAGCCCAGAAAACUGUAAGUUUUCAGCUGAUUCUUGGGUGAUCUUUCCCAGCCCCGACCUUUGCCCCUGCCUCCAUAUGCUUCCUUUCUUUUCUGGGCAGAUUUGGGAGCUGGGAUCGCAGUCCGUCUCUCUCACCGUCCCACCUGCCCAGCUGCCCUCUCACCUAUUUCACAGCUUUUCCCAAUAAAUCCUUCAGGGCACUGGCAGACGAAAUCGGAGAAGUACAGAGCCUGCCAGCACGUGCCCCCAUUGAAGCACCUUGGUUCACUGCAACCUGUCAAGUAUAAACAAGGGAACCCUUAAUUACUUUCAGAGCUGCUCCAAGAAUAAUAUAACAGUUAAAAUGUCAAGAGUGCUUUCUAUAUGCCAUUCACUCCUCUAAGAGGUUUACAAAAACUAGCUCAUUUAAUCCUUGCAGCAAACUACAAAGCAGGUUCUUUUAUUAUCUCCAUUAUACAAAUAAGGAAACUGAGGCUCGGCCAGGGAAGGCACUGACCUAAGGACACACAGUGUCCGUGUUUGUUCUGCACCUUCGCCUCUGCCAGGGGCAAAUGUGCUAGUUUGGAUAUAUUAUGUUCCGCCAAAAGCCAUGUUCUUUGAUGCAAUCUUGUGGGGGCAGAUGCGUUAGUGUUGAUUAGAUUGGAAUCCUUUGAGUGUUUCCAUGGAGA